Molecule: ribosomal RNA, 366 nt
Filed under: Triticum aestivum (bread wheat)
Lineage: Eukaryota; Viridiplantae; Streptophyta; Magnoliopsida; Poales; Poaceae
Description: partial small subunit ribosomal RNA
Source: RNAcentral
AUGUAUCAGGAUGAUGUUAGAAAGUUGUUGAUUAAUGAAAAGAAGAAUCAAAAUGGUGUGUUUUCCGAUACUGAAUUAAUAGAUUUACAGAAUCAAAUUGCAAAUUGCACAAUGAAGUUUGAUGAGGAUAAUCUAUUUAAAGUAACUCCUAACAUAGUAAAGUUCUUGAUUAAUAAAGUUCAGCCUAACGCUAAGCAAUAUCUAAAGGGUUGCCUACCAAGUAGCUUACCUAUGCUUAAGAUGUUUGGUAUCUAUACGCUUGAGGCUAUCAUGAUUCAUGUACUAGGCUUGGUAUUCAAUACUCUUCAGGAAUCAUCCGCAGUUAAGGCAGCUAGAUUUAUAGAUCAACUUAAUUCAACUGUAUGA